GCAAGUCGAGCGAGAAAGCACUUCGGUGUGAGUACAGCGGCGGACGGGUGAGUAACGCGUAGGAAUCUACCCAGUAGUGGGGGACAACAUGGUGAAAACCAUGCUAAUACCGCAUACGCCCUAUGGGGGAAAGCGGGGGACCUUCGGGCCUCGCGCUAUUGGAUGAGCCUGCGUCGGAUUAGCUAGUUGGUGGGGUAAGGGCCUACCAAGGCGACGAUCCGUAGCUGGUCUGAGAGGACGAUC
This 243-nucleotide ribosomal RNA is filed under the name uncultured bacterium. Its description in RNAcentral is "partial 16S ribosomal RNA". It matches the Rfam family "Bacterial small subunit ribosomal RNA", at positions 57 to 305 of the family's 1533-position model. The record is from RNAcentral.